UAGGGAAUCUCCCGCAAUGGGCGAAAGCCUGACGGAGCAACGCCGCGUGAGUGAUGAAGGUCUUCGGAUCGUAAAACUCUGUUAUUAGGGAAGAACAAAUGUGUAAGUAACUAUGCACGUCUUGACGGUACCUAAUCAGAAAGCCACGGCUAACUACGUGCCAGCAGCCGCGGUAAUACGUAGGUGGCAAGCGUUAUCCGGAAUUAUUGGGCGUAAAGCGCGCGUAGGCGGUUUUUUAAGUCUGAUGUGAAAGCCCACGGCUCAACCGUGGAGGGUCAUUGGAAACUGGAGAACGUGAGUGCAGAAGAGGGAAGUGGAAUUCCAUGUGUAGCGGUGAAAUGCGCAGAGAUAUGGAGGAAAACCAGUGGCGAAGGCGACUUUCUGGUCUGUAACUGGCGCGGAUGGGCGAAAGCGUGGGGAUCAAACAGG
This 429-nucleotide ribosomal RNA is filed under the name Actinomycetes bacterium. RNAcentral's name for it is "Actinobacteria bacterium partial 16S ribosomal RNA". It matches the Rfam family "Bacterial small subunit ribosomal RNA", at positions 355 to 776 of the family's 1533-position model. The record is from RNAcentral. Lineage: Bacteria; Bacillati; Actinomycetota; Actinomycetes.